This 357-nucleotide ribosomal RNA is filed under the name uncultured bacterium. Its description in RNAcentral is "bacterial SSU rRNA". It matches the Rfam family "Bacterial small subunit ribosomal RNA", at positions 8 to 350 of the family's 1533-position model. The record is from RNAcentral.
AGAGUUUGAUCCUGGCUCAGGAUGAACGCUAGCUACAGGCUUAACACAUGCAAGUCGAGGGGAAACGACAUCGAAAGCUUGCUUUUGAUGGGCGUCGACCGGCGCACGGGUGAGUAACGCGUAUCCAACCUGCCCACCACUUGGGGAUAACCUUGCGAAAGUAAGACUAAUACCCAAUGACGUCUCUAGAAGACAUCUGAAGGAGAUUAAAGAUUUAUCGGUGAUGGAUGGGGAUGCGUCUGAUUAGCUUGUUGGCGGGGUAACGGGCCCACCGAAGGCGACGAUCAGUAGGGGUUCUGAGAGGAAGGUCCCCCGACAUUCGGAACUGAGACACGGUCCAAACUCCUACGGGAGGCA